Molossus molossus (Pallas's mastiff bat) is the source of this 286-nucleotide long non-coding RNA. RefSeq lists it as uncharacterized. The record is from RefSeq and is a predicted model, not a curated record. NCBI's taxonomy places the organism in Eukaryota, Metazoa, Chordata, Mammalia, Chiroptera, Molossidae. The transcript has 3 exons.
GGAGGGUCCCGACAGUGGCAUCUGGAUGAUGUGGGACACAUGAGCAUCAAAAGGCAGGGCCAGUCUGACUGCUGUGUGCUGAGUGGAUUGGAGAUGUGCCAGUGGAGCAGGGAUACUGGUGGCACUAUUUUGAUGAUCCAGACUCCCUCCUGUCUCCACUGAUUGGAAUGCAGCUGGUGAAGCCACAAGAUGGAAUGAACCUGGGUUCCUACAUGAGCUCGUGGAGCAGAGUGGUUCUGCCUACCCAGGACUGAACACAGUGUGACUGGUUAAUGAAAAACUUUAU